RNAcentral lists this ribosomal RNA (433 nucleotides) under uncultured bacterium. RNAcentral's name for it is "partial 16S ribosomal RNA". It matches the Rfam family "Bacterial small subunit ribosomal RNA", at positions 29 to 507 of the family's 1533-position model. The record is from RNAcentral.
AACGAACGCUGGCGGCAUGCCUAACACAUGCAAGUCGAACGAGACCUUCGGGUCUAGUGGCGCACGGGUGCGUAACGCGUGGGAACCUGCCCUUAGGUUCGGAAUAACUCCCCGAAAGGGGUGCUAAUACCGGAUAAUGUCUUCGGCCCAAAGUUUUCUCGCCUUUGGAUGGGCCCGCGUUGGCUUGCCUGGUUGGUAGGGUAAAAGCCUACCAAGGCGACGAUCCAUAGCUGGUCUGAGAGGAUGAUCAGCCACACUGGGACUGAGACACGGCCCAGACUCCUACGGGAGGCAGCAGUGGGGAAUAUUGGACAAUGGGCGAAAGCCUGAUCCAGCAAUGCCGCGUGAGUGAUGAAGGCCUUAGGGUUGUAAAGCUCUUUUACCCGGGAUGAUAAUGACAGUACCGGGAGAAUAAGCUCCGGCUAACUCCGUG